AACGAACGCUGGCGGCAUGCCUAACACAUGCAAGUCGAACGAGACCUUCGGGUCUAGUGGCGCACGGGUGCGUAACGCGUGGGAGCCUGCCCUUAGGUUCGGAAUAACUCCCCGAAAGGGGUGCUAGUACCGGAUAAUGUCUUCGGACCAAAGAUUUAUCGCCUUUGGAUGGGCCCGCGUUGGAUUAGCUAGUUGGUAGGGUAAAAGCCUACCAAGGCGACGAUCCUUAGCUGGUCUGAGAGGAUGAUCAGCCACACUGGGACUGAGACACGGCCCAGACUCCUACGGGAGGCAGCAGUGGGGAAUAUUGGACAAUGGGCGAAAGCCUGAUCCAGCAAUGCCGCGUGAGUGAUGAAGGCCUUAGGGUUGUAAAGCUCUUUUACCCGGGAUGAUAAUGACAGUACCGGGAGAAUAAGCUCCGGCUAACUCCGUG
RNAcentral lists this ribosomal RNA (433 nucleotides) under uncultured bacterium. RNAcentral describes it as "partial 16S ribosomal RNA". It matches the Rfam family "Bacterial small subunit ribosomal RNA", at positions 29 to 507 of the family's 1533-position model. The record is from RNAcentral.